This is a non-coding RNA of Blumeria graminis, 91 nucleotides long. The record is from Rfam. NCBI's taxonomy places the organism in Eukaryota, Fungi, Ascomycota, Leotiomycetes, Helotiales, Erysiphaceae.
UCCCUCGUGGCGCAAUUGGCUAGCGCGUUCGACUGUUACCAAGAGAUGUGUUGGCAUCGAGAGGUUGGUGGUUCGAGCCCACCCGAGGGAG